This 428-nucleotide ribosomal RNA is filed under the name uncultured bacterium. RNAcentral's name for it is "partial 16S ribosomal RNA". It matches the Rfam family "Bacterial small subunit ribosomal RNA", at positions 354 to 796 of the family's 1533-position model. The record is from RNAcentral.
GUCGAGAAUCUUCCGCAAUGCGCGAAAGCGUGACGGAGCGACACCGCGUGAUGGAUGAAGUCCUUCGGGGCGUAAACAUCUUUUAUAAAGGAGGAAAUUUUUGACGUUACUUUAUGAAUAAGGGGCUCCCAAUCUCGUGCCAGCAGGAGCGGUAAUACGAGAGCCUCAAGCGUUAUCCGGAAUCAUUGGGCGUAAAGGGUGCGUAGGUGGUUUGAUUAGUCUCCCGUUAAAACUUCGAGCUUAACUCGAAAAGAGCGGGGGAAACGGUCAAACUAGAGUAUGUGAGAGGUGUGUGGAACUCAUGGUGUAGGGGUGAAAUCCGUUGAUAUCAUGGGGAACACCAAAAGCGAAGGCAACACACUGGCACAUCACUGACACUGAGGCACGAAACCUAAGGUAGCGAAUGGGAUUAGAAACCCCUGUAGUCC